Paramuricea clavata is the source of this 430-nucleotide non-coding RNA. The record is from the annotation of a GenBank genome assembly. Lineage: Eukaryota; Metazoa; Cnidaria; Anthozoa; Malacalcyonacea; Plexauridae.
CUUAAUUAUAGUUAACUUUAAUCACUUUUUUAUACAACCGGCCCCUGGUCUACGGCAAAAAUUGGCAGGUAUACGCCUUCGUCUUCGUACUUCGUUGUCUUGCUCAAACUCUCUAUUGACAAUUUUCCGACAGGUCUCAAUUUUCCGACGGGUCUCCCACCCCCCGUCCCCUCCGGCCACGGCGCCACUGCCUGAGCCUGCAUUAAAAAUUCACUUGUAAAAAAAACCAGAUUGGUUUAAACUUCAUCUAACCCUCAUUUAAUACAUAUUGAAAUAAUUAGGGUUAGAAAAGGUAUGUGUUUCAAGCUAGCUGUGUGCCGCAAAUAAGCGAACAAGUGAUUUUAGGUUUCACACCGAUGCCCAGCAAAGCAUAUAUUCUACAGAAUUUUUGCAUUAUUGACAGCAUGAAGCUAUAUAAUCAAGGAUUCCC